Molecule: long non-coding RNA, 3558 nt
Organism: Seriola aureovittata
Lineage: Eukaryota; Metazoa; Chordata; Actinopteri; Carangiformes; Carangidae
Exons: 3
Source: RefSeq, a predicted model, not a curated record
GACUAGUGUAGCGUGCUGAAGCCCAGUCUACUGGAGUGCUCUGUGCAAGAUCAUAGUAAGACUCCUUGCUAACAUAUGCUUGUGUUUAAUGCAGCGACCUGCUUCUGCAUGGAGGUAAAUGAAGCUUUUAAGCAGGGCGGAGGGAAGGGGGACCACUGAAAAGAUUAAUUGACUUUCCGCAGAGCUUCACUUAUCCUCCACUGGCACCUUUGACUUUUGCAGUGCGUUGCCUUAUCUUUGCCACUGGUGAACAGCUGGAGCAGCAGCAGGAAUUGCAGCAGGAAUUGAAUACUCCUCCACGAAGCUGAAGCUGUUCAAAGAUGUUUAGACUGUUGGCCUCCGAACUCGCUUAAGAAAUGCUGCAUGAACAGCAGAAAUGUUGCAGCCUCAACUAACACACACUAAAAGCACUCAGUGUCAGUGUUUAAGUGUGUCCCUCUUGUAUGUCUGAAACACACACACGCUCAUGGACACACAUAGACAUUGAUGUACAUGCAGUACAUAUACAGCUGCAGGUUGUAUAGUAACUUUGACUUUGACUCCGAACCCUGCAUGGUGAGAGAGAAGAGCCCAAUGUGUGAAUGUACAAAGAGUUCGCUCCCCACCCCCAUCAACGCUGCUGUAAACUCCACCACCCACAGCUGCACACACUUCUCCUGUCACGGUGAUAAUCUCUUUGUCAGGAGCCGUCUGUUAGAGAUUUGUCCGUCUGAUUUGGUGAACGUCCGAGUGGCAGGUCUAGCUGCAGUGCCACAGGGUGUCCGAGGGUCUGUGUGUGUGUGUGUGUGUGUGUUUGUGUGCGUGUGUGUGUGUGUGUGUGUGUGUGUGUGUGUGUGUGUGUGUGUGUGUGUGUGUGUGUGUGUGCGUGUGUGUGUGUGCGUGUGCGCGCGUGCGUGUGUGUGUGUGCGCGUGCGCGUGCGUAUGUGUGUGUACACCCAGUGCCAUAGGUGGUGGAAUCUCCAUUCUUAUCAAGAGUGUGUAUGUCGCUUGUCUUAGGACCUCUGUUUUGUGACAAAAGAGGAAUGGUGAACAGAAGACAAACAUGUAGUUUCACAAAACACAGUUGUAAUUUGAAUUUAACAUUUAAUAUCCACUUAAAUAUUAUCUGCUUCUUUUUUGUUUGUUUGAGUCCAUCCUUAUCUUUCCUCAUCUUAUCAUCCAUACUGAAUAUGAAAUGAGACAGUUUUUAUAAUUCCUUUCAUCGGGAAAUAUCCACUAGAUGGCUCUGCUUUCUACCUCUAAUUUGUCGCUUUGCUCCUACAGUACAUUUUCAAGCAGCUUUGAAAAUCCCAUUCAUCUGUGUUAAGAAAAAGUUCGUUCUAAAACCUAAAAUAAAAUUCCUGUAAACUCGUGGACUAUUGGGUCUAAUAGCAUUGUUCUCACCAGUAAUCACAUGACAACUUCAAUAACACCUCUGUUGACCUCAAAAUAAGCAUUAUCUGCUCUGUCUUUAAUCCGGCAAAAUAUAACAUGAUGUGCCAUUCUUGUGGUAAUCUUCUGCUCCGUGUUUUGUAUAUUGUGCAUUGGAUUUUGAGCAGCACUUUAACUUUAUCUGCAUAAAUCACUUGCCAAAUGCUGUAAAUCUUAAUGCCUUUUCACUUUCUCUUUGCAGGAAGGUCAGAGGUCAAAUCCUGUAUGAAAAAACACCUCCAGACUGGGUAAUAAUUCAGUAACAAAGUCACUUCAGCAGUUUGGUGUCACAGGGACCUGAACCAUGGCUGUGUGGUUAAAGGAUGGCCAGAUGCAAACCUGGUGUCCCACUCGUGAUUUUAAAUUAAUUUCCACAAGACCAAAACCUGAAACUACAACAGUUUGAGUAAGAUUAAAUAAUUAGUUGAAGCCACAGAAGUUUUGAGAUUUUAACUUGCAGUAAGAAGUUGUAAUAAGAUGAGAAAAUCACACUUUUUUUUUAAUACAUUUUGAAGUACUCCCUUUAUGAAAGAUAAUAUAAAUUCUGCCAAAGCUGUAAUUGUUGGGUUGAGUUAUUGUUUCUCAAAGCUCUUUUUCUUUCUUUUGCCUUUCAUCUCUCCCCUCCUGACAUGUUCUCCUUCCUCUAUCUGUUGUUUGGUCUCCUCUUGUCACUCCACUGCAAUCAUCUUCGCAGGGGGGCUUGUCAUCUGUAUCUACUCAUAUCCUACAAUCCCUUUUGCUCUGAGCACUACUGCACUUAAAUGUCAGGGCUGAUGAGCCUGCCACACCCACCUGACACAUCAGCUCAGCACCUGCUAAAAGCUUUUAUGGAGCAGAGUGUGAGCCUGGUGGUUGAUAUAAAUUAAAGAGUUUUUUCUUCUUUUUCUUUUUUUUUUUUUGGCGGGGGGGAAUUAUGGCUCUAAAGGGACAACUUCUGGUAAGAAAUGGAAAGAUAGAGUUACAGCAUAGGCUGUGAUUGGUUGCCAUCUAGUGGCUCUAACAAGUGCUUGCUGCCACACUAUGAUGGACCAAGAGAAAGAUUAGAUACAGAAACUCAACUCUCACCAACUAAAACUAUAUUAUAUUUAACACUGAUCAAAGGAAAAACACAAUAAAAAUUUGCCUUGGUAAAUUUGAGAUUUCAAAUAUGAAGUGUAAUUGAUACCUCUGUGUUUUAGUGUUCCCUGACUACUGACAAAAUUAAUCUAUUAGGAAACAGUGUCUUUAGGAUGUGACCCUAUGUGCUGAAUGUAAACCUGACAGAUAACUCACAGACUGGUCUCUGACAAGUGGCUAUAACUUUCAGAAAUGUUUACGUUUUGUGACACACUGGAUGUGAAAUAUUUGAAACUUCUUACACUAUUGAAUAUUAAAAAUUUUAAUGCUAGAAUGUCAAUGACUUGUUUAUUGCAUGUUAAUGAAGGUUUAGUGUGUUAAUGACAGUAUUAUAUCUUCCUAUUUGUGUCUGUCUUGGGACUAUACCUUCAGUUGUAAUGCAAUGUGUUUCUUAUAUUUCUCAUGUGCUUUUUUGUAUUUUUUUUUUUUAUGUUAAGCAUAAACAAAUGAACAGAAACAGGGUAAAAUAAGAAACAUAAAAGUGCUGCUGAUCAUUCAAAAAUGGAAAUGUUAUAAGAAUAUAAAAAUAAUCUAAUGAGAAAGUAGGAUAGAAAUGGAUCUCAUAUUCUGUGGGACUGAAAAAGCUUCAAGAAAAAUCUCCAUGGGCAUGAGUUACUUCAACGGCGUAGGUUUGGUCUCAACAUUGGUACGGACGCAACAACCCUGCCACCCCUCCAAAACAAAGAGACUGUCUUUUUAAUGCCGUCAACCAAAUGGAAUGCCCAUAUGGAAAUGUAAUAUAUGUACGUGUGUUGAAUUUCCUAAAUAUAUGUACAUAUGUAGUAAAGUCUUCAAUGUGUUUAAAAUAUGUGUUUAAAGUAUAUGAAACCUGUUAGAAAUUUGAACAAUGUCUUUAUAUUAUAGACAUAUAGUAAAUAACUAUAUAUCCAUCCCAAAGCCCAUCAGUAUAUGUUCAUAUUAUGUAAAUAUAAAAGAUAGACAGGUAUGUUCAAAUUGAAUAAGAAAUUAUUUAGAAAAGCAUAUACAGUCAUAUAGACAAUACAAUACAAUUUUAAUGAGCAUGUUGUUUUA